CGCGGGAUCUUACCGGGUCCGGACACACUGAGGAUUGACAGGCAAUAUAUUAGCAUAAAGACUCGUCUUUAGCGCUAAUUGUUAAAUAUGCUAGUCCUUUCAUGAUUAUGUGAUAGGUGGUGCAUGGCCGUUCUUAGUUCGUGGAGUGAUCUGUCUGCUUAAUUGCGUUUCACUAAGGGCCCAUAAAUUCAAGGUAUGUUAGCAAAUGCUGCUCUAUUGACCCCUAAUAGGCUUAACUGUCUUUAGCGCGUGUCUCUACGAGUUCUUUAAAGCACUGCGCAUGCUGUUGGGUCCUGAAAGCAACGAACGUGACCGCAACGUCUUGUUGCCUCUCUAUAAUAUCUUCUUAUUUUUAAUAAGAGUAUUUACCUGAGGCUAUUUUAAAACUAGACGGACCGCUGUUUCUUUCUUAAACCAGAGGAAGGUUGCGGCAAUAACAGGUCUGUGAUAAAAAUCAGAAUCCCCGGGGCAAGUG
Molecule: ribosomal RNA, 475 nt
Filed under: Globorotalia inflata
Lineage: Eukaryota; Foraminifera; Rotaliida; Globorotaliidae
Description: bacterial SSU rRNA
Rfam family: Eukaryotic small subunit ribosomal RNA
Source: RNAcentral